This is a non-coding RNA of Piliocolobus tephrosceles (Ugandan red Colobus), 2174 nucleotides long. The record is from the annotation of a RefSeq genome assembly. NCBI's taxonomy places the organism in Eukaryota, Metazoa, Chordata, Mammalia, Primates, Cercopithecidae.
CCUCACCACCCCCUCUCCGAGUCCACUUAGGGAGACUCGGCUUGCCGGGGUCUCAGGGUCAGAGUCCUGGAGGCACUUUGGAGGUCAGGAAAGAAAGCCAGGGAGAGGGUCCCUUCGAAUGGGAACCCAGCGUCUCCUCCCCAAGUCCAGCCACAGAUGUCGGCAGCUGGGGGGUUCCUUUGGCUGGUCUGGGGUGACCACUCUCUGCUUCAUUUGGAGCAUUCUCAGGGGCUGUGGUGACGAUUGUGUGGUAGGCCUCUGUCCCACUCCAAGGCACCCACUCUCUGGGACGGGUGCCCGCCGGGGUGUUUGGACUCCUGGGGGUGACUUGUCAGCCAUCUGCUUGCAGUUGGAUGUCCCAGGCCGACAGUGGUCUGGCUUCUGAGGGGUCAGGCCAGAAUGUGGGGUACGUGGGAGGCCAGCAGAGGGUUCCAUGAGAAGGGCAGGACAGGGACACGGACAGUUGGCUUCCAUGUGACGCCUGGAGACAGAAGGUCUCUGGGUGGCUGGGAACAAUGCAAGCCGGGCGCCCAGAGUUUUUGUGGGGUGAGGAUGGACAUUCUGCCAUUGUGACUACUACGGUAUGGACUCCUGGGGCCAAGGGGUCAUGGUCACCGUCUCCUCAGUGUCCACCAAGGCUCCGGACGUGUUCCCCAUCGCAUCAGCAUGCGAACUCCCAAAGGAUAACAGCCCUGUGGUCCUGGCAUGCCUGAUAACUGGGUACAACCCAAAGUCUGUGACUGUCACCUGGCACCUGGGGACACAGAUCCAGGACCAGAUUACGUUCCCUGAGACAGAGAGACAGGGCAGCUACACAACAAGCAGCCAGCUCGCCACCCCACCCCUCUCCCAGUGGCACCAAGGCGAGUAUAAAUGCAUCGUCGAGCACACCCCCAGCAAUACAAGCACGGAGAAGACCUUCCGCUGGCCAGAGUCUCCAAAGGCACAGUACCCCUCAGGGCCCACUGCACAGCCCCAAGCAGAGGGCGGCCUCUCCAAGGCAACCAGAACCCCGGCCACCACCAGGAACACAGAGUGUCCAAGCCACACCCAGCCUCUCGGCCUCUACCUGCUGCCCCCGGCCCUGCAGGACCUGUGGUUCCGAGACAAAGCCACCUUCACCUGCUUCGUGGUGGGCAGUGACCUGCAGGAUGCCCACCUGUCCUGGGAGGUGGCCGGGAAGGUCCCCAAAGGGGGCAUGGAGAAGGGGCCGCUGGAGCAGCACAGCAACGGCUCCCAGAGCCAGCACAGCCGCCUGGCCCUACCCAGGUCCUUGUGGAAUGCGGGGACCUCUGUCACCUGCACACUGAACCAUCCCAGCUUCCCAUCCCAGAAGCUGAUGGCGCCGAGAGAACCCGCUGCCCAGGCACCCGUCAGGCUUUCCCUGAACCUGCUGGCCUCGUCUGACUCUCCGGAAGCAGCCUCAUGGCUCCUGUGUGAGGUGUCUGGCUUCUCGCCCCCCAACAUCCUCCUGAUGUGGCUGGAGGACCAGCGCGAGGUGAACACUUCUUGGUUUGCCACCACGCACCCCACUCCACAGCCCGGGAGCACCAUGUUCUGGGCCUGGAGUGUGCUGCGUGUCCCAGGCCCCACCGGCCCUCAGCCAGCCACCUACACCUGUGUGGUCAGCCACGAGGACUCCAGGACUCUGCUCAAUGCCAGCCGGAGCCUGGAUGUCAGCUACCUGGCCACGACCCCCCCGAUCCCUCAGAGCAAGGAUGAGAACAGCGAUGACUACACGACCUUGGAUGACAUUGGCAGCCUGUGGACCACCCUGUCCACGUUCGUGGCCCUCUUCGUCCUCACCCUCCUCUACAGCGGCAUUGUCACUUUCAUCAAGGUGAAGUAGCCCUAGAAGAGCAGGACGCGCUGUACCUGUAGAAAAGGGAAGCAGCCUCUGUGCCUCAUCCAUGGAUGCCAGAGAGCAGAAAGCACCCACCCUGGACUCUGCUGUAUGCAGGAAAAUGCACCAGCCCCUGCCUCCAGCUCGCCUCUGUCCGCCACAGAACCCAGUCUUCUAGACCAGGGGAACGGGCACCCAUCACUCCGCAGGUGAAGCAGAGCACCCCUGCCCUGGCCCUAACCCCUGUGCCUCCUUCCUGUGCUUCCCCCAGAGCCAGCUAGUCCCAUCUGCACCCCCCGGCCUCCCCAUAAACACGCUUUGGUUCAUUUCA